Molecule: long non-coding RNA, 869 nt
Filed under: Ananas comosus (pineapple)
Lineage: Eukaryota; Viridiplantae; Streptophyta; Magnoliopsida; Poales; Bromeliaceae
Description: long non-coding RNA (ACOM_LNC044816)
Source: RNAcentral
AUAGGGGCUCGCCAAAUGCCAUAUAAAAUUUUGGCUAAAUUAUAAAAAAUCUUUUUGUUAAAAUUCGAUUUUUCAAUUUUUUUCACUGUCAUUUAAAAAUCUAUACUUUUCUGUUUUAUAAAAUGAAAAAUGUUCACUUCACCCCUACCUUUAGUGAUCCGUUAGGGUUCCGUUAUAAAAUAUUUUUUUUAUACCAAAAAUAUCCUCUGCUUUCUCUACCGUUGCUUCGCCCUUCUCUGCCUCGCCGCCUUGCCACCUCGCCCCCGCCCACAUCUCCGUCCGCGUCCACAAACACCCCUUUGCCCUCCUCCGCCGCCUCGCCUUCACUCUCGUUGCCCUUACCCACCUCUCUAUCCACGCCUAUCUCGAUUUCCUCCCUACUAUCGCCAAAAUGGAGGGGCGAUAAGAGUGCAGGAGGAGAAAGGGAGGAGGUGGAGAAGAAAAUAGAAAGGAAUCGUGGCUGAUCGAGACGCAAACCGUGGCCGAUCGAGCAGCGAACCGCGGCUGAUCAAGGCGGUGGAUGAGCAAGAUGAGGGAGGAGACGAAAAUGGUGAAGAGCAAACUUGUCAUUUUGUCAUCACAGUUCACACCGUACUCCCCUGUGAAUAUUUUUCAUUUUACAAGAAAACAAAGUGUAGAUAUUUAAAUAACGGGGGGAAAGUGAAAAAUCGGGUUUUGACAAGAAAUUUUUAUGUAAUCCAGCCUAAAAUUGUUUGGAUGCACCUAUUGCACAUUCUGAAAUGUGUAUCAGAAAUAAAUUUAUAUUGUACAACAAAUUAUUUAAGUAUUUUAUAUUAUAUUUUAUUUUACAAUAUUAAUUAUCAAAUAUUUUAUCAAUUAUCUAAUAAAAUGUACUAUAUAUAUAUAUA